This 496-nucleotide ribosomal RNA is filed under the name uncultured bacterium. RNAcentral's name for it is "partial 16S ribosomal RNA". It matches the Rfam family "Bacterial small subunit ribosomal RNA", at positions 29 to 507 of the family's 1533-position model. The record is from RNAcentral.
AUGCACGCUGGCGGCGUGCCUAAUCCCUGCCAGUCGAGCGAACAGACGCGUAUCUUUCUCCUCUUACUUUUUCGGCGUACUGUUUAUUAACACUUUGUUAACCUACCUUUUAUUCUUUGUUAACUUCGGUACACCGUAUCUAUUUCCUGUUAAUUUCUUUAUCCCCCUGGUUUAAUAUUUUUAUACGGUUUUUCUUUUACUUAUUUAUUUAUCCUCGCCGCAUUAGCUAGUUGGUAAGGUAACGGCUUACCAAGGCAACGAUUCGUAGCCGACCUGAGAGGGUGAUCGGCCACACUGGAACUGAGACACGGUCCAGACACCUACGGGAGGCAGCAGUAGGGAAUAUUCCGCAAUGGGCGAAAGCUUGACGGAGCAACGCCGCGUGAGUGAUGAAGGUCUUCGGAUCGUAAAACUCUGUUAUUAGGGAAGAAAAAAUGUGUAAGUAACUAUGCACGUCUUGACGGUAACUAAUCAGAAAGCAACGGCUAACUACGUG